This 449-nucleotide ribosomal RNA is filed under the name uncultured bacterium. RNAcentral's name for it is "partial 16S ribosomal RNA". It matches the Rfam family "Bacterial small subunit ribosomal RNA", at positions 330 to 795 of the family's 1533-position model. The record is from RNAcentral.
GCCAGACUCCUACGGGAGGCAGCAGUGGGGGAUAUUGCACAAUGGGGGGAACCCUGAUGCAGCGACGCCGCGUGGGUGAAGGAGCGUUUCGGCGCGUAAAGCCCUAUCGGCAGGGAAGAAGGAGGACGGUACCUGACUAAGAAGCCCCGGCUAACUACGUGCCAGCAGCCGCGGUAAUACGUAGGGGGCAAGCGUUAUCCGGAUUUACUGGGUGUAAAGGGGGCGCAGACGGCAGCGCAAGCCAGGAGUGAAAGCCCGGGGCCCAACCCCGGGACUGCUCUUGGAACUGCGCGGCUGGAGUGCAGGAGGGGCAGGCGGAAUUCCUGGUGUAGCGGUGAAAUGCGUAGAUAUCAGGAGGAACACCGGUGGCGAAGGCGGCCUGCUGGACUGCGACUGACGUUGAGGCCCGAAAGCGUGGGGAGCAAACAGGAUUAGAUACCCCGGUAGUG